Molecule: long non-coding RNA, 596 nt
Filed under: Homo sapiens (human)
Lineage: Eukaryota; Metazoa; Chordata; Mammalia; Primates; Hominidae
Description: novel transcript
Source: RNAcentral
GGACAGGCAGCUAGCCUCCCCUGGGGCAGGCAGGGACCAGAAGAGCCCCAGAGGGUCUUGUAGAACAGAGGCGGAGGAGGAGAGGACAGAAAGGACAGGGAGACAACCAAGGAGGCCCUGAAGAGACUGAAUGGGAGAGUGUGACUGCUCCCUGCAAAUCCUCCCCAUGUCUGGACUGAGGAAAUAGCUCGAAGCACCAUCCGUCUCCUGGUGGAGCAGCAGCAGCGUCCAGAGGCUGGGGGCUGAGGCUCCUUGUUUCCAACAAGCUCCUAGGUGAUGGAUGCUGCUGGCAGGUGCACCACACUGAGUUGCAAGACUCGUCCCUCCAGGCACCCCCUUCACAGGUUCAGCAUCCUCGCUGCCAUCUCCUCACAAAUGCGGGAAGGGAGCCACCACCCCAGGCUGGGCUAACUCGCAUGAGGACACCACUAACAUUGUCUGCGUUCCAUUUACGUUAGACAGGCAGGUCUACAAUGUUUGAAGUUUACAGAUUUCUUGGAUAUAGCAGUGAAAGGUUUGUAUUUUUUAUCUGUAAGGAAAAAUUGUGAAGUUUACAUCAUUGCAAAAUAAACAGAACUGUGACUUCUGUUUCACAA